RNAcentral lists this long non-coding RNA (2314 nucleotides) under Ursus maritimus (polar bear). RNAcentral describes it as "lncRNA (ENSUMAG00000004609.1)". The record is from RNAcentral. Lineage: Eukaryota; Metazoa; Chordata; Mammalia; Carnivora; Ursidae.
AGCCAACCAAGCUGGUUGCAUUAUCUCCAUGGGGCACCUAACUUUGAGAGAACCCUCAGGCUUUCUCAAAUCAUCCAAGAAGCAUUUCAAAAAGAGAAAGAAUCGCCAAGAAAAGGCUGUAAUCAGGAGGUGCUCCAUUUCUUGGGCGGCAGUGCGGGGUCCUGAAAUCCAGAUCACUGAGACAUCUUGCCAGAAAAUGCCCCUGCCAAUGGUUGACAGAAUUUUCCUGCCUGAUUACGCCUCCACAAAGCCGGCCAAGAAGCGCCCGCGGUGGCAGAGCCCUUCAGGCCUCUUCCCGGUGCCAGGGUAGUCCGAUGCUGUCUGGAGGCACCAGCAGCCGUGGAAAGGGUGUGGAAGAUGUGGUCUCUACGUAACCUGUUGUGCCUGUUUACUGAGGGUGCCGACACUGCGGACCUUGCCUUUUCUCUCCAGCUUUGAAGUUCGGUGCAGCUCUGCUUUGACCCUGUAUUACACUUGGAACUUCUGGAAUGCCGCAAGAUGCCGCAUAGUCUUUUCUUUCUUGCUGUCAGUCUGACUUAAUUAUCUGAUGCCCCUGUAGUAAAACCAAGUGCCGUUCUUAAACAAGCAGCUGUGCUGUUAGAAGAGCCCGAGUCCUCUGGCAUCUGCCGCCAUUUGGGCCUCGUGCUGCACUUGCUCUUACCUGUAGCUCAGCUAGCCUGACUGCUCCCAUUUUAGGUCAUGAAGUACGAUAUCCAGGAGAGGAGAUAUUGGAAGAAAUUGAUUUUUGUAGGUUUUUACGGAUUAGAAUUGCUUGUAACAGCCCCCUCUUUGGCAUAAAUCAGCUGUAUGUUUUCAAUUUUUUAUAAUUGUAGAAAUUAACUGGUGUAGUGUAGAAGUAAAAUAAUUGUGGGAAGAAAUUUGGUAUUUUAGACAUAAUAUAUUUCACUUAUUUUUAUUUAAAUGGUUUUAAAUUUUAAAUGUUUUGUAAUUAUUGUCCCAUAAUAGAAACAAUUUUUACUUUAUGGAUAUAAGAGUUGAUAUUAAUGGGCUCAUAAAGCCAUGUCCUGAUUGAGUAGUAAUGAAGGAACUCAGAGAUUUCUAAGGUUCUUCCUGCCCUUUUCUUCCUUCUUAUUUUUCUUUCUCUCGUAUUAUAUUCAAUUUAACCUUCUUUGCAAACUGAGGAGUUGCUAAGAAUUUUAAUGAACCAUCUGUGUGUCAAAUGUUUUUAUCUAUAAAUCUUAACUAGUCAGUUGAGUUGUGAAGAAAAUGGGGUGUGGGUUUUGGGUUCUGGGAUGAAAGGCAAAAGAAAAUAAUAACAAAAGUUUAACGAGAGGGGCUGUAUGGAGCUUUUAGUCAUUUGUGUUUACAAAAACAGGAAGGAAGAAAGAAAGAGAGAAAGAAAGAAACAAACAAACAUAGGUUGCUAAUCUUUGUUGAUUAUUACCUCAAGUACUCCAUGUAUAUAUGGAGAUUUAAAGUUUUUCAUUUUCAACAAAUGAGUUUCUUGUGUUACCUAGCCUCCUUUGUCAGUAAUCUACAUUAAAAAGUUCUUAGUGCCUGGUCUUCAGCAUUAAAUUGGGUGGUUCCAAUGUAUUAUUUUUUUUAAAUAUUUUAUUUAUUUAUUUGACACAGAGAGAGCACAAGUAGGCAGAGCGGCAGGCAGAGGGAGAGGGAGAAGCAGGCUCCCCGCUGAGCAGAGAGCCAGAUGGAGGUCUCGAUCCCAGGACUCUGGGAUCAUGACCUGAGCUGAAGGCUUAACUGACUGAGCUAUCCAGAUGCCCCAUCCAACGUAUUUUUUUGACUCAAAAAUAUAAUUCUAGUGGAAAGCUAACAUGCUCUAUCACUCAGUUUUAAAUGUAAAAGUUUGUUUUGAAUGAGCAAGAAAUUAAAAUAUGGUCAGUGUUCUGAGAUGAGGAUGCUGGGAAAUAGGGGUACCUGUCAUCUGGAGACCAGUCAUGUAGCAUAAGAGAAUCUUAAGCAGGCUCCAUGCCCAGCACAGAGCCCAAUGCAGGGCUCCAUCUAACGACCCUGAGAUCAUGACCUGAGCCAAAAUGAAGAGUCAGCACUUAAUGACUGAGCCACCCAGGUGCCCCUAGACAACCGCUUUCUGAUUAUCUUCAUGUAUUGAGAGUUUCUGUUUGCUUCCAUAUCAAAUUACUUAAAUGACAACAUCAAUGCUAGCCAAUCUAAGAAACACUGCAGUUGCCAAUAGAAGGUAAGCUCUGUGAUGGUAGAGACUUUGUAGAUCUUGGUUAUAUUUGUAUUUCUAGCUCCUUCUAGCUCCUGAUAUAACAGGCAACCAAGACCACUUUGUUGAAUGAAUGAAUAAAUAAAUUGUAAACACAGGAUAAUA